AGAGUUUGAUCAUGGCUCAGAUUGAACGCUGGCGGCAUGCUUUACACAUGCAAGUCGAACGGGGUUGGGAGCUUGCUUCCAAUCUAGUGGCGAACGGGUGAGUAAUACAUCGGAACGUACCGUGUAGUGGGGGAUAACGUAGCGAAAGUUACGCUAAUACCGCAUACGAUCCACGGAUGAAAGCAGGGGACCUUCGGGCCUUGUGCUAUACGAGCGGCCGAUGUCUGAUUAGCUAGUUGGUGAGGUAAAGGCUCACCAAGGCGACGAUCAGUAGCGGGUCUGAGAGGAUGAUCCGCCACACUGGGACUGAGACACGGCCCAGACUCCUACGGGAGGCAGCAGUGGGGAAUUUUGGACAAUGGGCGCAAGCCUGAUCCAGCCAUGCCGCGUGUCUGAAGAAGGCCUUCGGGUUGUAAAGGACUUUUGUCAGGGAGCAAAACUUACUGGUUAAUACCUGGUGAGGUUGAGAGUACCUGAAGAAUAAGCACCGGCUAACUACGUG
This 502-nucleotide ribosomal RNA is filed under the name uncultured bacterium. RNAcentral describes it as "bacterial SSU rRNA". It matches the Rfam family "Bacterial small subunit ribosomal RNA", at positions 8 to 507 of the family's 1533-position model. The record is from RNAcentral.